UGAAAUUGAAAAAAAAAAUAUAUUCUAUUGUUGACUCAAAUAACAAAGUCAUUUUUCAGUUAAUUCUCUUCUUCUUUAAUAUCAAAAAAAUAUAAUCAAAAGUCAUCUUUCAAAAUGCAUGCUUGAGCAUAAUUAAUAAACAUACGGAAUGUUUCAAGGAAAAAACAAGUCAACAAAAGCUUAUCAUAGAAUAAAAUAUAUUUAUAAUUAAACAAAUCAACAAGAGCUAAUCUUCUAUUUUUCUCAUUUGACAUAACCUUAGCACUACAAAAUAUUUUAGAUCUGUCAGAAAGGUCACUGAUACACAAGUAAACAAGUUAGGCGUGUUUAUGUCUCUAUCCUUAAAACUAAGCAACAGAUAAAGAGCAAAUAGAAGCCAAGAAACAUGGCAAUUCAUCAAUUAAUUUUAUUCUCAGGAAGAAAAAAAAUUAUCAAUUACUAUGUAGAUAAUUAGCAAUAAAUAAUAAUAAUAAUGAAUUGAAGAAAACAAAAAGGAAGUGGGUGUUCUUUGAGAUGGCAGUAGAAACAAAUUGUGAUGCUAAAUCAUAAGAAUGAAAUUGCCAGUGAGGAGGAAAUAUCCUGAAAUCGGAGCAAAAAGCAAUUAACAAGUAAAGUUAAAUUAAACCUACAUGACUAACUGUGCAGAUAAAAUGCCUGUAAAUGCUCAUUAUCAUUAUCUACUCUGUUAAUCAAGAAAUAAGCCUAAAAAUGGAUCUAUGGACUAUGUUUCUAAUCCUAAGGUGAGAAUAUUGUAAGCCUUGACUUGUGACUUUUUCUAUUUGUCAAAAACCAAUGCUUCACAUGAAAAAUCAAAGAGAAUAGAAACUAAAUCAUGCUUACCAUAUGAAAUUUGCGAUAUGCAGA
This 864-nucleotide unclassified non-coding RNA is filed under the name Hevea brasiliensis (rubber tree). Lineage: Eukaryota; Viridiplantae; Streptophyta; Magnoliopsida; Malpighiales; Euphorbiaceae. The record is from RNAcentral.